GGGUUGUGAGGUUAAGCGACUAAGCGUACACGGUGGAUGCCCUGGCAGUCAGAGGCGAUGAAGGACGUGCUAAACUGCGAAAAGCGCCGGCGAGGUGAUAUGAACCUUUGACCCGGCGAUGUCCGAAUGGGGAAACCCAGUGCAAUCCGUUGCACUAUCGUUAACUGAAUACAUAGGUUAACGAGGCGAACCGGGGGAACUGAAACAUCUAAGUACCCCGAGGAAAAGAAAUCAACCGAGAUUCCCCCAGUAGCGGCGAGCGAACGGGGAGCAGCCCGGAGUCUGAAUCAGCUUGUGUGUUAGUGGAACGGUCUGGAAAGUCCGACGGUACAGGGUGAUAGUCCCGUACACGAAAGCACACAUGCUGUGAACUCGAAGAGUAGGGCGGGACACGUGGUAUCCUGUCUGAAUAUGGGGGGACCAUCCUCCAAGGCUAAAUACUCCUGACUGACCGAUAGUGAACCAGUACCGUGAGGGAAAGGCGAAAAGAACCCCGGCGAGGGGAGUGAAAAAGAACCUGAAACCGUGUACGUACAAGCAGUGGGAGCCUCUUUAUGGGGUGACUGCGUACCUUUUGUAUAAUGGGUCAGCGACUUAUAUUCUGUAGCAAGGUUAACCGUAUAGGGGAGCCGAAGGGAAACCGAGUCUUAACUGGGCGUUAAGUUGCAGGGUAUAGACCCGAAACCCGGUGAUCUAGCCAUGGGCAGGUUGAAGGUUGGGUAACACUAACUGGAGGACCGAACCGACUAAUGUUGAAAAAUUAGCGGAUGACCUGUGGCUGGGGGUGAAAGGCCAAUCAAACCGGGAGAUAGCUGGUUCUCCCCGAAAGCUAUUUAGGUAGCGCCUCGUGAACUCAUCUUCGGGGGUAGAGCACUGUUUCGGCUAGGGGGCCAUCCCGGCUUACCAACCCGAUGCAAACUACGAAUACCGAAGAAUGUUAUCACGGGAGACACACGGCGGGUGCUAACGUCCGUCGUGAAGAGGGAAACAACCCAGACCGCCAGCUAAGGUCCCAAAGUCAUGGUUAAGUGGGAAACGAUGUGGGAAGGCACAGACAGCCAGGAUGUUGGCUUAGAAGCAGCCAUCAUUUAAAGAAAGCGUAAUAGCUCACUGGUCGAGUCGGCCUGCGCGGAAGAUGUAACGGGGCUAAACCAUGCACCGAAGCUGCGGCAGCGACACUAUGUGUUGUUGGGUAGGGGAGCGUUCUGUAAGCCGUUGAAGGUGUCCUGUGAGGGGUGCUGGAGGUAUCAGAAGUGCGAAUGCUGACAUAAGUAACGAUAAAGCGGGUGAAAAGCCCGCUCGCCGGAAGACCAAGGGUUCCUGUCCAACGUUAAUCGGGGCAGGGUGAGUCGACCCCUAAGGCGAGGCCGAAAGGCGUAGUCGAUGGGAAACAGGUUAAUAUUCCUGUACUUGGUGUUACUGCGAAGGGGGGACGGAGAAGGCUAUGUCAGCCGGGCGACGGUUGUCCCGGUUUAAGCAUGUAGGCGGAGGUUCCAGGUAAAUCCGGUACCUUAUUAACGCUGAGGUGUGAUGACGAGGCACUACGGUGCUGAAGUGAUAAAUGCCCUGCUUCCAGGAAAAGCCUCUAAGCAUCAGGUAACACGAAAUCGUACCCCAAACCGACACAGGUGGUCAGGUAGAGAAUACCAAGGCGCUUGAGAGAACUCGGGUGAAGGAACUAGGCAAAAUGGUGCCGUAACUUCGGGAGAAGGCACGCUGAUGUGUAGGUGAAGUCCCUGCGGACGGAGCUGAAAUCAGUCGAAGAUACCAGCUGGCUGCAACUGUUUAUUAAAAACACAGCACUGUGCAAACACGAAAGUGGACGUAUACGGUGUGACGCCUGCCCGGUGCCGGAAGGUUAAUUGAUGGGGUUAGCGGCAACGCGAAGCUCUUGAUCGAAGCCCCGGUAAACGGCGGCCGUAACUAUAACGGUCCUAAGGUAGCGAAAUUCCUUGUCGGGUAAGUUCCGACCUGCACGAAUGGCGUAAUGAUGGCCAGGCUGUCUCCACCCGAGACUCAGUGAAAUUGAACUCGCUGUGAAGAUGCAGUGUACCCGCGGCAAGACGGAAAGACCCCGUGAACCUUUACUAUAGCUUGACACUGAACACUGGUCCUUGAUGUGUAGGAUAGGUGGGAGGCUUUGAAGCGUGGACGCCAGUCUGCGUGGAGCCAACCUUGAAAUACCACCCUUUAAUGGCUGGUGUUCUAACGUAGACCCGUGAUCCGGGUUGCGGACAGUGUCUGGUGGGUAGUUUGACUGGGGCGGUCUCCUCCCAAAGAGUAACGGAGGAGCACGAAGGUUGGCUAAUCCUGGUCGGACAUCAGGAGGUUAGUGCAAUGGCAUAAGCCAGCUUGACUGCGAGCGUGACGGCGCGAGCAGGUGCGAAAGCAGGUCAUAGUGAUCCGGUGGUUCUGAAUGGAAGGGCCAUCGCUCAACGGAUAAAAGGUACUCCGGGGAUAACAGGCUGAUACCGCCCAAGAGUUCAUAUCGACGGCGGUGUUUGGCACCUCGAUGUCGGCUCAUCACAUCCUGGGGCUGAAGUAGGUCCCAAGGGUAUGGCUGUUCGCCAUUUAAAGUGGUACGCGAGCUGGGUUUAGAACGUCGUGAGACAGUUCGGUCCCUAUCUGCCGUGGGCGCUGGAGAAUUGAGGGGGGCUGCUCCUAGUACGAGAGGACCGGAGUGGACGCAUCACUGGUGUUCGGGUUGUCAUGCCAAUGGCACUGCCCGGUAGCUAAAUGCGGAAAAGAUAAGUGCUGAAAGCAUCUAAGCACGAAACUUGCCCCGAGAUGAGUUCUCCCUGAGACCUUGAGUCUCCUGAAGGAACGUUGAAGACGACGACGUUGAUAGGUCGGGUGUGUAAGCGCAGCGAUGCGUUGAGCUAACCGAUACUAAUGAACCGUGAGGCUUAACCUUACAACGCCGAAGGUGUUU
Molecule: ribosomal RNA, 2932 nt
Filed under: Enterobacter hormaechei
Lineage: Bacteria; Pseudomonadati; Pseudomonadota; Gammaproteobacteria; Enterobacterales; Enterobacteriaceae
Description: 23S ribosomal RNA
Rfam family: Bacterial large subunit ribosomal RNA
Source: RNAcentral